UUCGGUGUUUCACUUUCUCACUUGGCUAUUUUGGAUUUUAUGGGAGUAUUUAUUAAAUUUGUUUUGAUUUUAUGGAAUUUGGGAAUUCACGUAUACUAUUAUUUGGUUGUGGUGGAUUUUAUGCUACAAAAGAAUUAACAAGCACUGGUAUGCCUUACAAGGUUUACAAGUGUGGUUGUCUUUGAUUUUAACUUGUUUGCUACUCAUUGAACACUUCUAUGUGUUGCAGGAAGCAAACCCCUUGAACCUGAACAGAGCACAGACAAGGAGGCAAGAAAGGUUGGUUUACUCUUUUUGUUUGCUCCUCUGGUUUACCCCUUGAAUGUUUUUGAAAGAUGGAUUAUAAAUAGUUGACAUGAUGCAUUACUAUUUUUAUGAGGUAACUUGAUUGUGCAAUUGCAAUGUUACAUAGUAAGAUUUUUUCCUGGUUUAAAUCAUCAUGAACAAGCGCACUUGAUUUUAGUCACACUUCCUAAGUAAGCAUGGCUCUUCCACUUCCACUUGAUUCGGUUUGAUUAGAAUAUGUUUGUUUAACUGUUAAUUUGCAUUGAAUUAGAUUGAAUAUUGAAAUUGCUAAUUUUCUUUUCCUAUGCUUUUCAUAAAGGAGUUAGUUUUAUUAGCAGCAUCAAAGAUCGAAAAAUAAAGGAAGUUUACAUGACUGAGGAAGAAGCUGAUAAAAUUGCUGGGUUAGGUGAUGUUGAAUUUGUGAUGCCUGGGGAAUAUCAUGUUCUAUUUCCGAAGCCACCUUCUCCUCCUCUCGUGCAGAAGAUCGUUAUUAUCCAUGUUAAACAUCUUUGGAGCCACCCGGACCAGAAGCUGCUGGUGCAACCCCACAGGAAUGGAUGCUUGGAUGUUGAAAUAAUGCCACCGUG
Molecule: long non-coding RNA, 872 nt
Organism: Hibiscus syriacus
Lineage: Eukaryota; Viridiplantae; Streptophyta; Magnoliopsida; Malvales; Malvaceae
Exons: 3
Source: RefSeq, a predicted model, not a curated record